Long non-coding RNA from Suricata suricatta (meerkat), 504 nucleotides. RefSeq lists it as uncharacterized. NCBI's taxonomy places the organism in Eukaryota, Metazoa, Chordata, Mammalia, Carnivora, Herpestidae. The record is from RefSeq and is a predicted model, not a curated record. The transcript has 2 exons.
GAAGUGAUUGUCCACAUCUGACCCUGAACCAGCCAGUCAGCUCCUUCUUCAAACAGAACGCUUCUCUUAGGAAGAAAUAAACAUCAGCCAGGGAGCAAAUGGAACUACACGCAAGAUAGGAAAUUCAGGGCCCCUUGACUUCAUAGAGUCGCCCUUCACUGUACUUCAAAGCGAGGUGUGUGUUUAUCAUCCUCGUUGUGCACAGAAGAAGAAUAAAAGGCUUUUAAGUGGAGCCUUGCAAAUGUGCCCAGAAUAGAUAUCAGCGCGGCAAGAUGAUUAUGUGCAAGAGCAACUUGUAGAAUCUCAUCCAUUAAAGGGAGAUGUUCUCUCCUAGAGAAACUUCUCAAGUCCUUUGUCCAUCCAUAGAGAUGAGCAGUGUCCUUCCUUUGAUAAGGAGACAUCUAUCAGGUGAUGCAUCAAUUUUCAAUUAAUCAGCACAUCACUGAUGUGUUCACUUUAUUUCUAUAAAUGGACUUGAAGAAUAAAUCCUUAGUUUAUAGGUGA